GUGGAUUAGAUACCCUGGUAGUCCACGCUGUAAACGAUGAUUACUAGGUGUGGGAGGUAUCGACUCCUUCUGUGCCGGAGUUAACACAAUAAGUAAUCCACCUGGGGAGUACGGCCGCAAGGUUGAAACUCAAAGGAAUUGACGGGGGCCCGCACAAGCAGUGGAGUAUGUGGUUUAAUUCGAAGCAACGCGAAGAACCUUACCAGGUCUUGACUUCCCGUGCAUAGCAUAGAGAUAUGUGAAGUCCUUCGGGACACGGAGACAGGUGGUGCACGGCCGUCGUCAACU
This 288-nucleotide ribosomal RNA is filed under the name uncultured bacterium. Its description in RNAcentral is "partial 16S ribosomal RNA". It matches the Rfam family "Bacterial small subunit ribosomal RNA", at positions 773 to 1060 of the family's 1533-position model. The record is from RNAcentral.